RNAcentral lists this long non-coding RNA (3429 nucleotides) under Marmota monax (woodchuck). The record is from RNAcentral. Lineage: Eukaryota; Metazoa; Chordata; Mammalia; Rodentia; Sciuridae.
CUCAGGACCUCAGCGGCCUCUGCUGUGGAGACGGUGCCCCCCUGGCGGACUGGGUCCCCUUCAGGUGGUGGCUUUGGCUGUCACAGGCAGUGCUGCCAGAGUGCAGGGACGCCUGGCCAUGGGAGGCUCCCCUGGGGGGUGACUGGAGUUCCCUGGUCUCCAGGGAUGGCUGCCAGGCGCGACAGAGCCUCUGCGUUUUGUCAUUGCAGGCACCACCCGCACCAGGACCCCGUGCGUCUGAGCUGCCCGUGCUCUACAGGACUGAGGACUUUGUUCCCGUGGACGCCCGGGAGGGGGAGCGCCAAUCCCGCUGAGCCUGUCACAAUCCCCUCGAGGGGGUGAGGCUGGGUCCCAGCAUUUGGAUUUCCUCUGCUUUUGUUGUUAUUGAUUUUUUGCAUUUCUCCCUGAGGGGCCUGGGGCAGCCAUGUCUCGGAUCCGGUGGCAAGGGUGCCGCCUGCUGCCUGCUAUUUUAAGGGAUGAGGUGCUGAGUGGGGCAGGCUGUGCCGGGAAUCGUGGGCUGCAGUGCGGGCAUGUGGCCUGCAGACCCCAUGUCCCCAGCCCUGCCCGACAUCCCAGAAAGGUGUGGGCGCUCACUUGUGGUCAGCUGGGAGGACAGUGGGGAUGUCAGUUUCUUUUUCGCCCCUCUGAAUUUUCUUGGAAGCUGCCUCUUUGCAGUCGGCUUGCUCUAAGCCCCUGGCUGAGGGGAGGCUGCAGAACCAGAGGCCAGGGGACAGCCAGGCCCCUGAAGGUGCGUUUCUUUUCCUUUCUUCAAAAGACAGCUUCCUGGUGUUGUCUGAGUUCUCCAGGUUCUGAAAUCCUCAGGGCCCAGCAGACACGGCACCCCUCACACUGCAGUUCAGGGUCAGAAUGUCAAGGAAGCGUGAAUCUGACAAGAUGGCCCUGGACAGUUGGGUGGUGCUAAUGUUUGGGAAAUCUCUGGAAUUAAAAGAUAGAGGUGGGUCCUGUGUUUCAGGAAGAGUCAACAUUUUUCUCUUGGGGCCACCUUUAUGGAAGUAUAACACACAUUAUAGAAAGGGGCCCCUGUGCCAGGCACUGUGGUGCAGGGCUGUACUCUCAGCGACUUGCGAGGCUGAGGCAGGAGGAUCACAAGUUCAAGGCCAGCCUCAGCAAAUUAUCAAGACCCAGUCUCUAAACAAAAAAUAAAAAGGGCUGGGGAUGUGGCUCUGGGUUACACACACACACACACACACACACACGAGAAAAAAGAACAAGGCACCUUAGUGUGGAGCACUAGCUGCCCACACGUGGAACACAUUUGCGCAGCCCGACCAACGCUGCCAGCACCCAGAGCCCCCUGAGGCCCCUUCCUGACAGUGCUCCCUGCAGGCUGGGUGUCCUCCUGUGCUGGCCUGGAGGCUGCAGGGCACAUGCACCCAGCAUGUUGGCUUUGUCACUGGACCUGGAUCUGCAGGAGUGUCCCUACUGCCCCCGGGUAGCUGCAGUGGCCAUGUUGUAUGGAUUGAGGCUGCUUUUAAUGAAGAAAGCCUCGCACUCUCCGCACCCCCGUCUGCCCAGGGACAGUGGAUUGGAUGGGAAGCUAAUGUUUCAGACAAGCAGUUAGACACCACUCUCGAAGGCUAAGUAUAGACACCAGCCUUCUUUCCCCUUCCAGGGCCUGACCCAGGGACCAGGGAGGGCUGGAAAGGAUGCCAUGUGACCGAGCCAUAGCAGUAGAAGGUCCUAAAACAGAGAAUGGCAGGGCCUGGCAGGAGGGGAUCCUGCGGGCGGCGCCUUGCUCUGUGCGCAGCUCAGCUGUUGGGCCGAGCCUCGCUGCUUCCUGGCCACAGCCUCCUCUUCAGGAAGACCUAUGAUAAUGGCUCCUGCCCGCUGGCUGUGGUGUGUGCUUACCCAGCGCCAGCAAGGAUGGCUAUGUUGUGGUCAGUGGGCUCAACAGGGAGGACUGUGUGCUGUUUCUCAGGUGAGCAGUGGCACCCAAGGGUCUCAACAGCGAGUGGCUUAGGGACUGCCCUUAAAGGUCACAGAACAAGUCGUGGAAGGGUGAGGUGCUAAGAUGCACCAGUUCUCCCGGUGCAUCAUAAUGCACAUAUCAGGUUGCAUUAGAAUCUUUAAUGACACUGCUGGAAAACUCGUAGACAAAAUGCUUUCUUAGGCCUCAAUGCUAUCAAAAUAAGAUGUGUGCUCAGACCCAGUCCUGCAGCUCUCAGAACCCAGAUUCUACACGAGAAAGACAUGAUAAAGCACGACGAUGGCCUCUUCAUUGAAAUAGCACACAACUGGGCAGAACUCGAGCAUUCCUCAGGCGUUGGCUUUGCAUGUCCCCACUGUGGAACAGGAGCAGGUUGUAAAGAUGGAUUGAUUGGGAGUUCCUGUGAGUCGGCAUGGAGACGUCGCCAAGAUAUGAAAGCCAAAUGCAGAGAAAUGUCCAUAAUAUGCUACCAUCUGUGCAAAAAUGAGAGGCAUGAAAAUUCUCAGGAUAAAUAAAAACUGGAGAACAGGGCGUGUGGGGCGAGAGCGUCCUUUCCACUGUACUUCUUUUUCCUUUUUGGUGUUUUGGUGUUUACCUAUUGAGAAAAUCCCCUGAAGACCUAUCGCCAGCCGCUGGAAAUCAGGACAGCCAUGGAAAUAAGCGGCUCCUCCUCUUCUGACACCUGGGGCAUCUGGCAGCCCUGGGCUCAUGUGGCAGCAAGGAGCUGGAGCCUCUGAGGGGCUGAGACCCUGAGAGCCAGAGACCCAGGGCUUGGGGACUUCCAAGGAUAUGGGGUGAGGAGAUGCCAGCGGGUGGCAUGUCCAUGGCGGGGGAUGGCAGCUGCACUGCAGCUCCAGCCAUUGGCAGUCUAGGCCACCUCUGUGCCCCAGCUCCCAGAUCCCCAGGGGUAGGUGGGUCCCAUCAUAGAGGUGCCUGCUGUCAAGGCUCUUGCUCUGAGGGAUGGGAAACAAACCAGACCUACAGGAGGGCUCCACAGCAACAGCCCUCAAGACCCGGAGGCAAACCACACAGCCGCAGAGGCAGCAACCCAGAAAAGGACCACACACCUGACCAAGCAGAUUUCUCCCAGGAAUGCAAGGUUGGCUGGUUUAACAUUUGAAAAAUUAGUAUAACAGACAAUGUUAAUAAAGGACAGAGCCCUUGAUCAUCUCACUGGAUGAGCAUAAAAGCUGACCAGGAUCUGGUCUCUAGUCCUGAGAAAGCUCUCCUGCUUGGGGUGAAACGGGCUCAGGGAAAGGGGUUACGGUCUGGGCAGACACCUUUCCCCGUUCUGUUACAGGGUUCCACAGACCCCUGGACAUGUUUUGUGGGCCCACGCAGCUCCAGGCCUCUCCCUACCCAUCUGCAGCAGCAGCCCUUGGCCUGGUCAGGCACGCAGGCAGCCUGGGCUGGGGGACCUCAGGGAGUUUUGAUUGCAGGCAGCUGUCACAGAACCUCCCUGGGAAAGCACUGAGAGUUGG